Molecule: long non-coding RNA, 3878 nt
Organism: Gopherus flavomarginatus (Mexican gopher tortoise)
Lineage: Eukaryota; Metazoa; Chordata; Testudines; Testudinidae
Exons: 2
Source: RefSeq, a predicted model, not a curated record
AGAGCCCAGGCACAGGUACGUGACCCCUGGAUCUGCCCCAGGCCCCACCUGCACUCCAUCCCUUCCCCCAAGGCCACACCUCCACCCUAGUCCCACCUCUUCCCACCCUGUUCUGCCCUUGUCCCCCAGCACACCACAUCUUCUCUCCCCUUCCCCCCAACCUCCUGCAUGCCACCAAACAGCUGUUUGCAGCAGGUGGGAGUGGGGUGAAGGGAGGAGGAGGUGCUGAUAGGGGGGCUGCCGGUGGGUGCUCAGCACCCACCAUUUUCCCCCCAUGGAUGCUCCAGACCCAGACUACCCACAGAGUUGGUGCCUAUGAACCCAGGAGUCCUGGCUCCCAGUCCCCCCUGCUCUAACCACCAGCCCUCCCCUCUCCCAGAGCCAGGGAGAGAACCCAGGAGUCCUGGCUCCCAGCCCCCAUGUGACCAGGAUAGGAGGAUACUGAGGGGAUGUUAUGCCCACCUCUAUUUCACUCCCCUUCUCCCUGCUCCCUCCCCCUCUCUCUUUGCAGAAGCCUGGCUCAAGAUCUGCCUUGUCAGACAGCCGUCCUCAGAGCUCAGCCAGAUCGUGAGGUCUGCAUCAGCGUUCCUGGUGCCAACAUGAUGCGGCACAAACAGACCUCAAAUCCGCCGCGACUGUGUAUGGAGAAUGUUAACAGCUAUGGCACUGUCCCACCCCCACAUCAAAAAUCUGCCGCUCGGUUCCCCUCACACUGACACGGCCAAAACAUUUAGCCACCGACCUGUGUGCACCCCCAUCUGAUGCCUCUUAAAUUCCAUGCCCCCUAGACACUCAGCCAGUAGAAGGCUGAUGGUGCACCCCCAACACACAAGACUUACGGUCUAUAGAAAGACACCCAAAUGGAAACUGGGAGCUCAUAUUCCUCCAGGGAUAUAAUCUGUGAAUCUAAGGCCAGAAGAAACUACCAUAUCUACUCCAACCUCCUAUGUAACACCAGCCCGAAGACUUCCCUGAAUUAAUUCCUCUUUGGACUAGAGUAAGAUCUCUUAGAUCAACUUCCCAUCCCUGAUUUUAAAAUGACCAAUGAUGGAGGUGGUUAGAAAGUACAAUAUAUAAAUCAAUUUCCUUUCGCUUAGCUAAGCGUAUCCCCGAACCUUUAAACUGCUGUUGGUCAGCUAAGUCAGGAAGUUUUUAGGAAAUCCACCUAUCUGUAUAUUUCUUUCUCUAACCUCAUAAGGCGCUAAAGAACUCACCAAAGAUCAGCCGUCUGUGAACGUGUCGACAUGGGGAAAUCAACCAGCGUAGUUAUAGGGAAUAAUUAGAUCACUCUAGCAACACCAGCAUGAUUCCCCAUGUGGCCAGUCUGUACUUGACGGUGUGUAAAGAGGAGAAAUUAUGUAGCGGUAUAAAUUUCCAUUCAAUUUCCCCAUGUAGACAAGCUGUUCGACCCUAAAUCUAAGUGCCUAUUUUCCUGUGGAGAUUGAUUCAUUUCUAGCCCAUAGGGCUGAUUUAACCUUUAUUGUAUUCAGCUGUAAUGCAAGGAACCUACAGGCCUGUACCCUGUAAGACAUUGGCUUCAGCAAGUUAGCAUAAGUCUAGUUAAAUAGGGUAGGCCUGCGACCUGUGGCAUAGAGAGAGGGCCUAGAGGUUCCCUCUCAGUCUGAGGAACUACACCUCUACCCCGAUAGAACGCUGUCCUCGGGAGCCAAAAAAUCUUACCACGUUAUAGAUGAAACCGCGUUAUAUUGAACUUGCUUUGAUCCACCGGAGUGUGCAACCCCCGCCCCUCCCGAGCACUGCUUUACCGCGUUAUAUCCGAAUUUGUAUUCUAUCGGGUCGCGUUGUAUUGGGGUAGAGGUGUAGAGAAUGAGUUGGGGCCAGAAAAGGUUAAGCGACUAGCAGGCUAAAUGGCCCAAAUUCUACCUUGAAAGACAUUAUAAAAGUAUGUGCAUUAUAAUUAGGCUAUUCCUUAUAAAUAGCUAACGAAACCAUGUUAGAUAGACUAGAGCUUUCAGAUGUAGACUUGUACUGGUAGAGAAUUGGAAGAAGAUAGUGAUUGUAUUGAUCUGUGUUUCCCGAUAUCUUGUUAGAGGUUAACGAUGUAACCAGACAAUUCCUGUCUGUUACUAUGUUCUACUGAUUCAGGGAUCAAAAGGGGAUAUUAACGUUUAGAUGGAACUUGGGUGUGAUAAUACCAUUGUCUCUAUUUCUCUUUGAAGUCUGUAGUGAACUAUGAAUUGGCUUAAUGGAGAAUUACCUUAUGCUGAUGAAUGCAAUCGCCUUUGUAUACAUAGGCAAUAGGAGGUUUUACUGCAAAGCCGCAAUGUAUAUUACCUAUUCUUCACCCAAGGAAUAGCUGCUGUCACGAGGCUAUCCAUAGCCUGCCAGCGAUUUAUAAAAGAACUCUCAGGGCCCCAUCCUGUCCUCUCAGAUCUGCUUAAACUUGGUCAGGGAAAGCUUGAGCUGCAAGACAGAGGUGUCCAGCUCCAGUCUGGAUCACCCUGCUGCUGCUCGUGGAAAAAUUUGAACAAACUCUCUCUAUGGACUGUCUAAUUGGAUUAUAAGCCAAUGAACUGAUUCUGGGAAGAACUUCUUUGCAAGCCAGCACCCCACCAUCUCUACUAUGAACCUGCCCUAAGAACGCUAGUCAUAUCUGUAGGUACAAUCUUUUAACCACAAUACGCUCUUCCAUUUCUUUUUUUUAAUAAACUUUAGUUUGGUUAAUAAGAAUUGGCUGUAAAUGCGUAUUUGGGUGAGAUCUGAAAUAUUCAUUGACCUGGUGGGUGACGUGUCCGAUCCCUUGAAACUGGUAGACCUUCAUGUGUGAUGAACAAGAUUUUCAGUAAUCCUCACCAUAUUUGCCUUGGCUGUCUGGGUGGGAGCCUGUGAUGGGGUGCACUUGCCCCACACUGGAGAGGAAGGGGUUAAGCCAGCACUCUUGGCAGCAGAAGCCACGCCCCCUCGCCCCUACUGGGCAUGCUCCAACCGCGGCUGCUGCGGUAUAAAAAGGAGCAGCUCAGCUCAGUCUGGGCUGACCGCCGAGGGGGAAGGACGCACUGCGCCAGCUCAAGCCUGGGAGCAGCCAGAACCGCAGACCGUGGGAGCAGGAAACGCCAGGACCCAGACAGGUGCUCAGGAACCUGUGGACGCCCCAGGGAGAUUUCAGUGUCUGGGAGCAGCGCCGCCCAAGGGGCCUGGAGGCUCCAAGGGUGCCUAGUCUUCAGCUGCAGGAGUCAUGGGGAAAAGACAUUCCAGACCCGAUGUGCUGUAUGGAAAAGGGAAACUGAGGCACCCGACCAUAUUGCUUUGACGGCUAAAUGCCAAGAUUCCUGUACUAUGGACAACAUUGUCCCGAUAUUAAUUGGGUUCCAAAGAUUUGCCAGAGCUUGUGUGGAUAAAGUAGCUGUAUGAUGUUCUUUAGCUCUUGGCAAGAUCCCAUGAGACAUACAGGAAUCCUGCUGCAACAGCGGAUGCAAUCCACUAUUGUUCUAACCAAGUUUUACCUUGAGUUUGUAAAGAGAUUCAAUCAUGUUAUUGAACAUGACUUGGAUAAACCAUUUCUGUUACACACUGGUACGGCUUCUAACCCAACACUAGCUGCAGUAAAACAGACUCAAGGAUGGACACAAGCUCAUUGUGUCAACUGCCCCUUUUAAUCGACCCGGUGCCUUCCAGCUGCGCGCCGCCCCACUUAGCGCUCUCCCCAGGGUCAGAUUAAGUCUCCUGUGGGCCCAGGGCAUUUAGAUUUUGUGGGGCCCCCUGUAUUCACAUCUUUUUCCUAAUUUAAAAAGAAAUGAUCACAGUCGUGGCAUCAAGGCUACUAAUGCUGUAUUCAACUUGCCUUUUAAUUAACAUCAAGCCGUUCUGGGGUUACAUUUCAGCCUUCAAACGUAGAAUACAGUUACGUGAAUUCAGAA